Molecule: ribosomal RNA, 164 nt
Filed under: Dyscia innocentaria
Lineage: Eukaryota; Metazoa; Arthropoda; Insecta; Lepidoptera; Geometridae
Description: partial 16S ribosomal RNA
Source: RNAcentral
UGUGAGCCAGGUUGGUUUCUAUCUUUUAAAAUUUAAAAUAUUUUAGUACGAAAGGAUCAAAUAUUUUAAUUAAAUUAUAAAAAUUAUUUGAAUUUUAUUAAAUACAUUUUUAAAAUAUUUCAUAAGUUAAUUUUUAUUUUAUUUUUAAUAAAUAAAAUUUUUAA